UAUGGAAGGCAGCAGUGGGGAAUAUUGCACAAUGGGCGCAAGCCUGAUGCAGCCAUGCCGCGUGUAUGAAGAAGGCCUUCGGGUUGUAAAGUACUUUCAGUCGUGAGGAAGGUGUUAAGGUUAAUAACCUUAGCAAUUGACGUUAGCGACAGAAGAAGCACCGGCUAACUCCGUGCCAGCAGCCGCGGUAAUACGGAGGGUGCGAGCGUUAAUCGGAAUUACUGGGCGUAAAGGGCACGCAGGCGGUUAAUAAGUUGGAUGUGAAAUCCCCGGGCUUAACCUGGGAAUGGCAUUCAAGACUGGUUAGCUAGAGUCUUGUAGAGGGGGUAGAAUUCCAUGUGUAGCGGUGAAAUGCGUAGAGAUGUGGAGGAAUACCGGUGGCGAAGGCGGCCCCUGGGACAAAGACUGACGCUCAUGUGCGAAAGCGUGGGGAGCAAACAGGAUUAGAUACC
RNAcentral lists this ribosomal RNA (452 nucleotides) under uncultured bacterium. RNAcentral's name for it is "bacterial SSU rRNA". It matches the Rfam family "Bacterial small subunit ribosomal RNA", at positions 340 to 786 of the family's 1533-position model. The record is from RNAcentral.